RNAcentral lists this ribosomal RNA (40 nucleotides) under Antiaris toxicaria (upas tree). RNAcentral's name for it is "partial 18S ribosomal RNA". Lineage: Eukaryota; Viridiplantae; Streptophyta; Magnoliopsida; Rosales; Moraceae. The record is from RNAcentral.
GAUCAUUGUCGAAGCCUGCCCAGCAGAAAGACCGGCGAAC